CCUACGGGUGGCAGCAGUGGGGAAUAUUGCACAAUGGGGGAAACCCUGAUGCAGCGACGCCGCGUGAAGGAAGAAGUAUUUCGGUAUGUAAACUUCUAUCAUCAGGGAAGAAAAUGACGGUACCUGACUAAGAAGCCCCGGCUAACUACGUGCCAGCAGCCGCGGUAAUACGUAGGGGGCAAGCGUUAGCCGGAUUUACGGGGUGUAAAGGGAGCGUAGGCGGCGGUGCAAGUCAGAAGUGAAAGCCCGGGGCUCAACUCCGGGACUGCUUUUGAAACUGUGUUGCUAGAUUGCAGGAGAGGUAAGUGGAAUUCCAAGUGUAGCGGUGAAAUGCGUAGAGAUGAGGCAGAACACCGAUGGCGAAGGCAGCAUGCCGGCUUCCGACUGACGCUGAGGCACGAAAGCGUGGGGAUCGAACAGGAUUAGAUACCCCUGUAGUC
Molecule: ribosomal RNA, 440 nt
Filed under: uncultured bacterium
Lineage: Bacteria
Description: partial 16S ribosomal RNA
Rfam family: Bacterial small subunit ribosomal RNA
Source: RNAcentral